RNAcentral lists this unclassified non-coding RNA (1300 nucleotides) under Bombus terrestris (buff-tailed bumblebee). RNAcentral describes it as "misc RNA ENSBTSG00005025656.1". The record is from RNAcentral. Lineage: Eukaryota; Metazoa; Arthropoda; Insecta; Hymenoptera; Apidae.
CAUAUAAUAAUAUCUUACAUAAAAUAAUAUCUUCAUAAUACUUAAUUGGAAAUCGUCUAUUUUACCACCAUAUUAUUAUAAUUAUUAUUUUUUCGAAAGAAUCGUAAUCGAUUUUAAUUUUUUCAUUAAAUUGUAGGUAAAUACGUGUUUUUUUUUUUUAAUUUAUUUCUAGCUUACAUAUAAUUUAUGUUGGUCAGCAUUUGCAUUCUAUUAUGCAUAUAAAAAUAUAUCUUCUACAUACAUUGAAUAUUAACAAACAUAUAUAUUUUAUAUUUUAUAUCUUGCGUUUCUUUUUUAAAGAUAUUAGCUCUUUCUCAAGUUCUGAACGGUCAUUCAACAAUGGUUUAGUCUUCUUACUUAAUUCAGCCAUCAACUUUUCUAAUACUACUUCCUCUUUUUCCUUAUUUUUCGAGUGUUUUUCAGCGAGUUCCUCACAUUCUUGGAUAUCUUUUAUACUUUUUUCUGGGACUCUAUACAGUUCUUCUAAUUUAGAUUUUUCCUAUAGAGAAUAUUUAAUUAUUUAUUUAUUAUAAUUAAUAAUUAGUAAUAAAAUUAAUAAAAUAAUUAUCCUAAUCUUUUUUAUAAGGAUAAUAAAAUAAAUUUUACUGUUUUUAAAGAUGCAAUGUUAGCUUUUCGUCUUUUAUUUGUUUCCACUAAUUCUGCAUGAAGUGAUUCGUCAUAUUUUCGAAUUUUAUCAAAUUCUGUUGCAAUUUCAUCCUUGCGUUUCUGUAAAUUGUUCCAUGUUGCACUUUUUUCCUUAAUCACUUUGUUCUUCUGCUCUUUAUCACGAUAAAUUUCUUCCAUUUUGUUUAAGAGAUCUGAUAAAUCUUUAUCCAUUUCAUUAAUUUUAUUUUCCUGUUCCAUAAUUUCUUUUGAUGUUUCAAAUCUAAAAAAAUUUGUUGUAAAACUCAAGCACAGUAUAGUUUUCAAGAUAGUUUACCUUUGAUAACAAUAAAGUUGAUGCUGUAAUUUCGUAAUUGCAUUUUCUAAUUGCAAAUAUUGAAUAGCUUCUUGCAUGGGUUCUUCAAGAGCUGCUUUCUCUUUUUCAACAAUUUUAAGGCGGUUUAAUUUCUCCACCCUAUGUUCUGAUAAAAGUUCUAUUUUGUUUGAUAGUUUUUCUAAUGGUUCCUUAUAACGAACUGUUCCAAUUAUAUCUUCCAAAAACUCAAGCAUACCAGUAUCAUUUUCAUUUUGUGCCUUAGGCUUCAUCAUUGCUAUUUGUUCAACUUCGCCCUAAUAAUAUAAUAUAAUGUAAUAUAACGUAAAAUUAUAUAUUGUAAAGUAAUAAAUAAUAAAAUGC